Molecule: long non-coding RNA, 636 nt
Organism: Vitis riparia (riverbank grape)
Lineage: Eukaryota; Viridiplantae; Streptophyta; Magnoliopsida; Vitales; Vitaceae
Exons: 4
Source: RefSeq, a predicted model, not a curated record
UCACCAAUUGCUUCGAACAAUGAGAGGAACAAUUGAUAAACUAGCAAAGCAGCAUAAUACAAAUAAAACCCCAUCACCUUCUCAUCAAAGAGGAAGUCAUAACCAACCUGAUAUCAAUGAAUCUUUCCCAUCACCACCACAUGUUGAGGAUGAAUUUCAGACGAAUGCUAUUAUUCCUUACCAGACUAGACAUCCUCCAUUACGUUCAUAUUGACUACGUCAAUGUGCUGCUGACCUACAAUUACCAUACGUGGUACAACCAUCAAUAAAAUUUUCAGUGUCUUCAUCUGUAACAAAGCAAGUUUUGGCAUAUGCAUUGGACGAUACACGUGAUAAAAGCCAAAUAUUAUGUUCCAUGAAUGAUUUCUUCUUGACAAGGUUCAACUUCAAAUGCUUGAGACUCGACAAAUUGGUUGACAAUAAGGUUGUAACCAUGCAUUGUCGAAUUUUGAAUGGUAUGGAUAAAGAAAAUAGGAAUCAUUUCUUAUCUCCAAACUUUGCGGUAAGAUAUGUUGUAAGAAUUAUAGAUUGGUUUUCUUGUUUUGAGUAGAUUGUUUUAAUCUAAUGUAUGCUUUGUAUUUUUUUAUUACAAUCUGAUGUGGAAAAAAAAGGGGUACAUUAUCUCCAAAAUACAUG